UUAAGCGACUAAGCGUACACGGUGGAUGCCCUGGCAGUCAGAGGCGAUGAAGGACGUGCUAAUCUGCGAUAAGCGUCGGUAAGGUGAUAUGAACCGUUAUAACCGGCGAUUUCCGAAUGGGGAAACCCAGUGUGUUUCGACACACUAUCAUUAACUGAAUCCAUAGGUUAAUGAGGCGAACCGGGGGAACUGAAACAUCUAAGUACCCCGAGGAAAAGAAAUCAACCGAGAUUCCCCCAGUAGCGGCGAGCGAACGGGGAGCAGCCCAGAGCCUGAAUCAGUGUGUGUGUUAGUGGAAGCGUCUGGAAAGGCGCGCGAUACAGGGUGACAGCCCCGUACACAAAAAUGCACAUGCUGUGAGCUCGAUGAGUAGGGCGGGACACGUGGUAUCCUGUCUGAAUAUGGGGGGACCAUCCUCCAAGGCUAAAUACUCCUGACUGACCGAUAGUGAACCAGUACCGUGAGGGAAAGGCGAAAAGAACCCCGGCGAGGGGAGUGAAAAAGAACCUGAAACCGUGUACGUACAAGCAGUGGGAGCACGCUUAGGCGUGUGACUGCGUACCUUUUGUAUAAUGGGUCAGCGACUUAUAUUCUGUAGCAAGGUUAACCGAAUAGGGGAGCCGAAGGGAAACCGAGUCUUAACUGGGCGUUAAGUUGCAGGGUAUAGACCCGAAACCCGGUGAUCUAGCCAUGGGCAGGUUGAAGGUUGGGUAACACUAACUGGAGGACCGAACCGACUAAUGUUGAAAAAUUAGCGGAUGACUUGUGGCUGGGGGUGAAAGGCCAAUCAAACCGGGAGAUAGCUGGUUCUCCCCGAAAGCUAUUUAGGUAGCGCCUCGUGAAUUCAUCUCCGGGGGUAGAGCACUGUUUCGGCAAGGGGGUCAUCCCGACUUACCAACCCGAUGCAAACUGCGAAUACCGGAGAAUGUUAUCACGGGAGACACACGGCGGGUGCUAACGUCCGUCGUGAAGAGGGAAACAACCCAGACCGCCAGCUAAGGUCCCAAAGUCAUGGUUAAGUGGGAAACGAUGUGGGAAGGCCCAGACAGCCAGGAUGUUGGCUUAGAAGCAGCCAUCAUUUAAAGAAAGCGUAAUAGCUCACUGGUCGAGUCGGCCUGCGCGGAAGAUGUAACGGGGCUAAACCAUGCACCGAAGCUGCGGCAGCGACGCUUAUGCGUUGUUGGGUAGGGGAGCGUUCUGUAAGCCUGCGAAGGUGUGCUGUGAGGCAUGCUGGAGGUAUCAGAAGUGCGAAUGCUGACAUAAGUAACGAUAAAGCGGGUGAAAAGCCCGCUCGCCGGAAGACCAAGGGUUCCUGUCCAACGUUAAUCGGGGCAGGGUGAGUCGACCCCUAAGGCGAGGCCGAAAGGCGUAGUCGAUGGGAAACAGGUUAAUAUUCCUGUACUUGGUGUUACUGCGAAGGGGGGACGGAGAAGGCUAUGUUGGCCGGGCGACGGUUGUCCCGGUUUAAGCGUGUAGGCUGGUUUUCCAGGCAAAUCCGGAAAAUCAAGGCUGAGGCGUGAUGACGAGGCACUACGGUGCUGAAGCAACAAAUGCCCUGCUUCCAGGAAAAGCCUCUAAGCAUCAGGUAACAUCAAAUCGUACCCCAAACCGACACAGGUGGUCAGGUAGAGAAUACCAAGGCGCUUGAGAGAACUCGGGUGAAGGAACUAGGCAAAAUGGUGCCGUAACUUCGGGAGAAGGCACGCUGAUAUGUAGGUGAAGUCCCUCGCGGAUGGAGCUGAAAUCAGUCGAAGAUACCAGCUGGCUGCAACUGUUUAUUAAAAACACAGCACUGUGCAAACACGAAAGUGGACGUAUACGGUGUGACGCCUGCCCGGUGCCGGAAGGUUAAUUGAUGGGGUUAGCGCAAGCGAAGCUCUUGAUCGAAGCCCCGGUAAACGGCGGCCGUAACUAUAACGGUCCUAAGGUAGCGAAAUUCCUUGUCGGGUAAGUUCCGACCUGCACGAAUGGCGUAAUGAUGGCCAGGCUGUCUCCACCCGAGACUCAGUGAAAUUGAACUCGCUGUGAAGAUGCAGUGUACCCGCGGCAAGACGGAAAGACCCCGUGAACCUUUACUAUAGCUUGACACUGAACAUUGAGCCUUGAUGUGUAGGAUAGGUGGGAGGCUUAGAAGUGUGGACGCCAGUCUGCAUGGAGCCGACCUUGAAAUACCACCCUUUAAUGUUUGAUGUUCUAACGUUGACCCGUAAUCCGGGUUGCGGACAGUGUCUGGUGGGUAGUUUGACUGGGGCGGUCUCCUCCUAAAGAGUAACGGAGGAGCACGAAGGUUGGCUAAUCCUGGUCGGACAUCAGGAGGUUAGUGCAAUGGCAUAAGCCAGCUUGACUGCGAGCGUGACGGCGCGAGCAGGUGCGAAAGCAGGUCAUAGUGAUCCGGUGGUUCUGAAUGGAAGGGCCAUCGCUCAACGGAUAAAAGGUACUCCGGGGAUAACAGGCUGAUACCGCCCAAGAGUUCAUAUCGACGGCGGUGUUUGGCACCUCGAUGUCGGCUCAUCACAUCCUGGGGCUGAAGUAGGUCCCAAGGGUAUGGCUGUUCGCCAUUUAAAGUGGUACGCGAGCUGGGUUUAGAACGUCGUGAGACAGUUCGGUCCCUAUCUGCCGUGGGCGCUGGAGAACUGAGGGGGGCUGCUCCUAGUACGAGAGGACCGGAGUGGACGCAUCACUGGUGUUCGGGUUGUCAUGCCAAUGGCACUGCCCGGUAGCUAAAUGCGGAAGAGAUAAGUGCUGAAAGCAUCUAAGCACGAAACUUGCCCCGAGAUGAGUUCUCCCUGACCCUUUAAGGGUCCUGAAGGAACGUUGAAGACGACGACGUUGAUAGGCCGGGUGUGUAAGCGCAGCGAUGCGUUGAGCUAACCGGUACUAAUGAACCGUGAGGCUUAACCUU
This 2902-nucleotide ribosomal RNA is filed under the name Escherichia coli. RNAcentral's name for it is "bacterial LSU rRNA". It matches the Rfam family "Bacterial large subunit ribosomal RNA". The record is from RNAcentral. Lineage: Bacteria; Pseudomonadati; Pseudomonadota; Gammaproteobacteria; Enterobacterales; Enterobacteriaceae.